UUUGAAGAUUUUUUGAAUUUUAUAGUAUGUAUAUAGAUGAAUUUUAGAAAAUGUCUUGGUGUACUAGUUGCAAUUUUGGGUAAAAAUUUUGAACUCAAUUAAAUAGUUAAAUUAAGGAAUGUAAAGAUUUUUAUGGAUUGAAAUCUUAGAAAUUGGAGUUUGAGGAUUAAUGAUUAUUUUUGAAAUCUUCAAUGAUUUGUCAAUUGAACUAAAAUGAUUUUUUUUUGUAUAGAUAUUAGAAUUGAUUUUCAACAUUUUGAAUGAAAUUUAGAAGGAAUUCAAUGGUUCAAAAAGGGAAUAUUGGCACUAAAAGUUUAGUAUUCGAAUUAGAGUAGGAGGGUG
This 342-nucleotide long non-coding RNA is filed under the name Physcomitrium patens. RNAcentral describes it as "long non-coding RNA (PPAT_LNC010800)". The record is from RNAcentral. Lineage: Eukaryota; Viridiplantae; Streptophyta; Bryopsida; Funariales; Funariaceae.